GGGUAUUGGUUGUUAAAGGGUGGUCUUUUGGGCUUGCCAAGUUCAACCACCUAAGGAUAAGGACCUGCCCGGUCCCAUUAAGGCUAGUUGGGUGGAGGGGUAACGGGCUUCACCAAGGGCCCAACGAUGGGGGUAGGGCCGGCCCUGGAGAAGGGGGUUGGUCCGGGGCCACACCUGGGGGACCUGGAAGAUACGGGGCCCCAGACUUCCCCUACGGGGAAGGCAGCCAGGGUGAGGGAAUAUUUGGGGUCAAUGGGCCCCGAAAGGGCUGAAAACCCAGCAACGCCCGCCGGUGAGGGGAUGGAAAGGAUCCAAGGGGAUCGUUAAAACCUCCUUGGUUAGAAGGGGAACCGAAUAACCUCCCCAUGGUUGGAACAAUCAAUUGGGGGCCUGGACCGGGUACCUUCAGGAAGGAAAGCCCCCCGGCUAAACCUCCGUGGGCCAGCAGCCCCGCGGUAAUAACCGGGGGGGGGGCAAGCGUUUUGUCCGGAAUUUUAUUGGGGGUGUAAAAAGGGUGCCGUUAAGGCGGGUUGGGCCAAAGUCCGUGGGUGAAAAUCCCCCGCAGCUUUAACCUGGCAGACGGGGUCCAUGGGGAUACUGCCUUGAUCUUGAGGUGCCGGAGAGAGAAGGAGUGGGAAUUCCCCAGUGGUAGCGGGUGAAAAUGCGGUAGAAGAUUUGGGGAAAGAACACCCCAGUAGGCGGAAGGGCGGCUCUUUUGGGCUCGGUUACUUGACGCCUGAAGGCACGAAAAGCCGUGGGGGAGCAAAACAGGGAUUAAGAUACCCCUGGGUAGUCCCACGCCCCUAAAACGAAUGAGGGACUAGGGUGUCGGGGUCGCAAGGACUCGGGUGCCCGCAGCCUAACGCAUUAAAGUCCUUCACCCUGGGGGAAUACGGGCCGCAAGGGUUGAAAACUCAAAAGGAAUUUGACGGGGGGCCCGCACAAAGCAGUGGAAGCAUGUGGGUUUAAUUCCGACGCAACCGCGAAAGAACCUUUACCUGGGGCUCCAAAAUGUUAGUGCCAUCCCCAUGAAAAGUGGGCUUCCUCGCAAGAGACGCUAAUAUAAGGUGCUGCAUGGCUGUCGUCAGCUCGUGUCGUGAGAAGUUGGGGUUAAGUCCCGCAACGAGCGCAACCCUUUGUCUUUAGUUGCCACCGGGUUCAAGUCAUCAUGGCCCUUACGUCCAGGGAAACACCGUGCUACAAUGGUCGGUACAGAGGGCGAACCCCCAGGCAAAGGUAUCCCAAAAACCCACCUCUUUCGGAUAAAAGGUGGAACUCGCUUUU
This 1284-nucleotide ribosomal RNA is filed under the name uncultured bacterium. RNAcentral describes it as "partial 16S ribosomal RNA". The stretch from base 290 to 1284 matches the Rfam family "Bacterial small subunit ribosomal RNA", at positions 1 to 1319 of the family's 1533-position model. The record is from RNAcentral.